GGCUCGGCCAGGCCGGGCCCGCGGCUCCUAGCACCGAGCGGGCGGCGGCCGCGGCACUUCCGGGUUAGCCGUCUCCAUGUUGGUCUCGGCAACGCGAGGGGCGGGGCCGGGCGGGGUCAGGGGUCAGCGCCUCCCUCGUUGCUGUGGCGACCGGGGGCGCGCGUCUCUGGACGCAGGCCGCCUGGGUUCUUGGUGUUGCACAAUCCUGGCCGGGUGUUGGGUUCUGGGGUCUCAGUGCCCUGCAAUGGCAGACAGUACGGUUCUGGGGAGAGAUGGAGAUGCAGAAACAUUAGGUCAGCGAGAAGUUUUCCCAAGGUAUCAUUAUAAUCUUCAGAUUUCAGAUACAUACAUACAUGCACCUCCAACAUACAACUGAAAUGUAUAUAAAGUUCGUACAUGUAUACAUAUGACAGAGGUAUGCUGAAGAUACAUAGAUCAACCUUCA
RNAcentral lists this long non-coding RNA (445 nucleotides) under Chinchilla lanigera (long-tailed chinchilla). RNAcentral's name for it is "lncRNA (ENSCLAG00000022640.1)". The record is from RNAcentral. Lineage: Eukaryota; Metazoa; Chordata; Mammalia; Rodentia; Chinchillidae.